RNAcentral lists this transfer RNA (71 nucleotides) under Cynops cyanurus cyanurus. RNAcentral's name for it is "tRNA-Val". It matches the Rfam family "tRNA". From Rfam's summary of the family: Transfer RNA (tRNA) molecules are approximately 80 nucleotides in length. Their secondary structure includes four short double-helical elements and three loops (D, anti-codon, and T loops). The record is from RNAcentral. Lineage: Eukaryota; Metazoa; Chordata; Amphibia; Caudata; Salamandridae.
UCAAUUUAUAGCUUAGUCAAAGCAUCUUGCUUACACCAAGAAAAUACCCGUUAAACUCGGAUUAAAUUGAG